AUUGAACGCUGGCGGCAGGCCUAACACAUGCAAGUCGAGCGGAUGAAGGGAGCUUGCUCCUGGAUUCAGCGGCGGACGGGUGAGUAAUGCCUAGGAAUCUGCCUGGUAGUGGGGGAUAACGUCCGGAAACGGGCGCUAAUACCGCAUACGUCCUGAGGGAGAAAGUGGGGGAUCUUCGGACCUCACGCUAUCAGAUGAGCCUAGGUCGGAUUAGCUAGUUGGUGGGGUAAAGGCCUACCAAGGCGACGAUCCGUAACUGGUCUGAGAGGAUGAUCAGUCACACUGUAACUGAGACACGGGCCAGACUCCUACGGGAGGCAGCAGUGGGGAAUAUUGGACAAUGGGCGAAAGCGUGAUCCAGCCAUGCCGCGUGUGUGAAGAAGGUCUUCGGAUUGUAAAGCACUUUAAGUUGGGAGGAAGGGCAGUAAGUUAAUACCUUGCUGUUUUGACGUUACCAACAGAAUAAGCACCGGCUAACUUCGUG
Molecule: ribosomal RNA, 484 nt
Filed under: uncultured bacterium
Lineage: Bacteria
Description: partial 16S ribosomal RNA
Rfam family: Bacterial small subunit ribosomal RNA
Source: RNAcentral